CUACGGGGGGCUGCAGUGAGGAAUAUUGCGCAAUGGGGGAAACCCUGACGCAGCGACGCCGCGUGGAUGAUGAAGGCCUUCGGGUCGUAAAAUCCUGUCAGAAGGAAAGAAGUGUAUGGUAGCUAAUAUCUGCCAUACUUGACGGUACCUUCAAAGGAAGCACCGGCUAACUCCGUGCCAGCAGUCGCGGUAAUACGGAGGGGUGCAAGCGUUGUUCGGAAUUACUGGGCGUAAAGCGCGCGUAGGCGGUUUUAUAAGUCAGAUGUGAAAGUCCACGGCUCAACCAUGGAAGUGCAUUUGAAACUGUAAGACUUGAGUAUUGGAGGGGGUAGUGGAAUUCCCGGUGUAGAGGUGAAAUUCGUAGAUAUCGGGAGGAAUACCGGUGGCGAAGGCGACUAUCUGGCCAAAUACUGACGCUGAGGUGCGAAAGCGUGGGGAGCAAACAGGAUUAGAUACCCCAGUAGUC
This 466-nucleotide ribosomal RNA is filed under the name uncultured bacterium. RNAcentral's name for it is "partial 16S ribosomal RNA". It matches the Rfam family "Bacterial small subunit ribosomal RNA", at positions 339 to 795 of the family's 1533-position model. The record is from RNAcentral.